Molecule: ribosomal RNA, 253 nt
Filed under: uncultured bacterium
Lineage: Bacteria
Description: partial 16S ribosomal RNA
Rfam family: Bacterial small subunit ribosomal RNA
Source: RNAcentral
UACAGAGGGGGCAAGCGUUGUUCGGAAUUACUGGGCGUAAAGGGCGCGUAGGUGGCCUUCUAAGUCGAACGUGAAAUCCCUGGGCUCAACCCAGGAACUGCGUCCGAGACUGGGAGGCUUGAAUCCGGGAGAGGGAUGCGGAAUUCCAGGUGUAGCGGUGAAAUGCGUAGAUAUCUGGAGGAACACCGGUGGCGAAGGCGGCAUCCUGGACCGGUAUUGACACUGAGGCGCGAAAGCCAGGGGAGCAAACAGG